Oncorhynchus tshawytscha (Chinook salmon) is the source of this 1599-nucleotide long non-coding RNA. The record is from Ensembl. Lineage: Eukaryota; Metazoa; Chordata; Actinopteri; Salmoniformes; Salmonidae.
GGCAGAGAGAGCGGUAGUAGGAGACAGGGAGGGAGGGAGUGAUGAAACAAACAAAAAAGUUGUGUAACGUAUCUUUACUCCAGACCUACAGCUAGGCUCAAUGUUCCUCACCUGCCCCAGACCUACAGCUAGGUUCAAUGUUCCUCACCUGCCCCAGACCUACAGCUAGGCUCAAUAUUCCUCACCAGCCCAAACCUACAGCUAGGUUCAAUGUUCCUCACCUGCCCCAGACCUACAGCUAGGUUCAAUGUUCCUCACCAGCCCAAACCUACAGCUACGUUCAAUGUUGUUUGUUUAUUCAAUGUGCUAGGUUCAAUGUUCCACACCGUCCCCAGACCUACAGCUAGGCUCAAUGUUCCUCACCUGCCCCAGACCUACAGCUAGGCUCAAUGUUCCUCACCAACCCAAAGAGUGCUGUACAAACACACAGAACAUACAGGCACAUGUAGGGUUGCAAAAUUCCUGGAACGUUCAAUACACUUCCAGGUUUUCCAGAAAUAGUGAUGAGAGGAUUCUGUAUUUCCUGCUUAUUCCCUCCUGAUUUCGGGAAUCCUUCAAACCGGGAUUUUGGGAGAACCAGGGAAUUUAUUGAAUGUUCCAGGAAUUUUGCAACCCUACGUGUGCGUUUGUUUGGAGGAAGGUGAAUGGUUGCUAGAGAGGGAAAAUGAGCUGAACAGGAUGGGAAGCAGACAGACGGAUACAAGGAGAGAGAGAGAGAGAGAUAAAGAUGGAUGGUUCUCCGUCUCCCUACAUUAUAGUGUCUGCUAAAUAAAGGAGUAGGGGCUGAUCAUAACAACAAAAGAAUAGGGGGGUUGUUUAAAAGUGUACCCUUUCUGCUUACCGGCGUGAUUUACUUGUGGCGAAGAGCCGUGCCAAAUAAGUAGCUAGCUAGCAGGGGAUAUUUAUUGUCAGCCUGAUGGGGAUGUCAAGCCAACUCUCCCCAACAUCUCCCCAGCUUUCAGAGAAGACCUUGCUUCAGGCAACACUACAGUACACACGUACACCCACACGCUCAGCUAAAGGAACUCAAAAGUUAUCUUUGGAAAUGAAUCACUCCCUUUUAUCGUCACAUUAAUUUGUAGGAAGGUUGAAAUGAGCAUUAGCUUUCAUUGCCUUCAGAAGGUGUUCACAGCCAUGGACUUUUUCCACAUUUUGUUGUGUUACAAGGUGGGAUUUAAUUGUCGUUUUUUGUCAACGACCUACACAAAAUGAUCCAAUGUCAAAGUGAAAUAAAAAGUCUAACAUUUGUAAACCUUUUAUGAAAAACAAAUUGCUAAAAUGUCAUGAUUACAUAAGUAUUCAACUCCCUGAGUCAAUACAUGUUACAAUCACUUUUGGCAGCGAUUUACAUCUGUGAGUCUUUCUGGGUAACAUUAGCUUGUAGUGUAGCUGUUGUGUUUGUGGCACCAAGGGCACACAGUACAGUACAGACAGCUAGCUAUCUGGUGGGUGCUGUUGGUUGGUGGACUGCGUGUGCCUUUUCUCCACACAGCUGUCAGUGGGGCUGCAUGGGAUCUGUCAGCACACAAUCUGCAUCUGCACUCUCACUCUGUAACACACACCCAACACAACAUCACUGUGUGUGUCAGUGUGUGCAGG